This 375-nucleotide ribosomal RNA is filed under the name uncultured organism. RNAcentral describes it as "partial 16S ribosomal RNA". It matches the Rfam family "Bacterial small subunit ribosomal RNA", at positions 527 to 896 of the family's 1533-position model. The record is from RNAcentral.
GUAGGUGGCAAGCGUUGUCCGGGAAUUAUUGGGGCGUAAAGCGCGCGCAGGCGGUUCUUUAAGUCUGAUGUGAAAGCCCACGGGCUCAUCCGUGGAGGGUCAUUGGAAACUGGAGAACUUGAGUACAGAAGAGGAAAGCGGAAUUCCACGUGUAGCGGUGAAAUGCGUAGAGAUGUGGAGGAACACCAGUGGCGAAGGCGGCUUUCUGGUCUGUAACUGACGCUGAGGCGCGAAAGCGUGGGGAGCAAACAGGAUUAGAUACCCUGGUAGUCCACGCCGUAAACGAUGAGUGCUAAGUGUUAGGGGGUUUCCGCCCCUUAGUGCUGCAGCUAACGCAUUAAGCACUCCGCCUGGGGAGUACGGCCGCAAAGGCUG